This is a non-coding RNA of Sus scrofa (pig), 5238 nucleotides long. The record is from RefSeq and is a predicted model, not a curated record. NCBI's taxonomy places the organism in Eukaryota, Metazoa, Chordata, Mammalia, Artiodactyla, Suidae.
AAUAAUAAAACCCCCAAAGCACUAAUAAAGAAAGAAUGCUUCUUCUUUUUUUUUUUUUUUUUUUUUCUGAAUGAGGAAAUACCACGAAAAGAAGUCUUGACCCCAUAGUUUCUUAUUUGAACUGGUGAAUUCCUAAUUCAUUUGUGACCCAAAUAACUGAAUAAACAGUUUGAAAAGAUACCGUCAGAGAAGGAACUUCCACUUGAUAUGUUUUCUGUUUAGAAAACAGACUUUGCUACGAGCAGACGAGAGAGUUUAACUGGAAUCUGGUGGUGAUUCCAAGUGUUCAGGGUGCAUGGGAACGGGGGUCUCGAGUGCGGCCCUUGGCAAGGGGAUUACUCCCGCAAGUCCACACCGGGCUGCCCCCUUGCUUCUCAGGCCUCGGCGGCACAGCCUGGCCGUAUAGGAUUCCUCUGCUGAGCGCGUCCUGAGAAUGUGUCAUUUGGAAUUAACAUCAGCGGAGUCAAAGGGCAUGAGAAUGGACUUUCCAAUCCCUAAAGAAUGGUUUCCAGUUUCCCUAUGGAAUACAUGCUGCCGACUUGAAACGUGGACGCUGGAAACCCCAACACAAAAGGGCUGAAACGGGACUUAACGGGGUGUCGGUCUGUGGCUGUGAGUCACCUGGGGCGAGCGGUUGAGUGUGACACGGCCCCUGUGUGGUCUCGCCCACUGAUGUGGGGCUGGAAGGUGCCACGGUCCCUUCAGGCUCUGACAGCCUGUCCUGGGUCAUCAGGUGAGGCGAUCCUGUAAAUGAGCCUUAAGAGGCGCUGGUGGUCGCCCCCCCCCCGCCUCCUGCAGCCCAGCCUCCGCUCUGGCCCCUCCAUCGCCUGGCGGCCUCUAUUCUCGCGCCUGGCCUCUCAUGCCCUGACCACGCCUCGUAAAGAGGCUCAUCUCCAGGGAUGUUGUGACCAGGCGGGGAGAUGCGUUCUGCCUGUGUCCACGCUGCUGGCGACAGCAGACAGGGGAGGGUGGACCUGGGUGUGGGACGAGAGGUCCGGGCAGGAGGAGCCCGGGCAGGAGGAGCCCGGGCGGGGCUCGGGGUUAUAGGGCCCCACCCUCAUCCGUCGGGAGAGGGGAGCGCCUGGGAAGGUGAGGCUGAGAGCAGGCAGAACACAGGGGUGGAGGACGAGGGACGGUUCAGAGCAGCAGUCCUGACAGACACACAGCCGCCCUCCCACCCCGCCCCCAAGGGGAGCCUGCAGGCUGUGGACCCAGCCCUCUGAAGCUGGGGCACCAGCGCAUCACCCGCAUUCUGAUGUCAGAGCGACUCUGUGCCUCUCACCAGUACAACAGCAAUCGACGAACCCGGCAAACCCUCACCUACAUGGGGGGCAAGAUGAGGUUUUUUGCUGACUCACCACCCAGAAGCUGUAUGCCAUGUUUAAAGUCAAAAAGCACAAUUCUCUGAUGGGUAAAAGCUGCCUCUUCCAUAAACACAUUCCUUCCGACAGCAUUCAUCUUGCUCUCGCUCUAAAAAUGUGGCAGCGGGACAGAGCCCAGGGCUCCUUCUCUUUCUCAUUCAACGAGUAAAAAUAACCCCUGAGUUCUGGGCAGAGGAAAGGCCGCGGUGCCAGGAGUCCCAGAACCUUCCCUUUUCAAGUAGUGUCUGGAGCACCAGCCACGCCCGGCACUCAGGCCGCCUGGAAAGUUCACCAGCGCUGCCCCCGCGCCCCGGCGGCCGCUCUCAGGAGGGCUCCCCCAGCAGACCACCUGUUGUUAAGCCUCUUCUAUGCUCCACAUAGAAACCUUCCUUUUCACACAUGCUGGGCCUGCUAGGGUAACAGCCAAGAAUUCUAUUCAAAGCAGCCACGAGCAGGGCCUGCCCCUGAGCUUUCCUCUUGACCAUUUUUGGUGUUUUGCUGUAAGGGUUCGACAGUCAAGUUUUCCUAACGGAGAAUCAUGCAGAGGUACCCAAAGGUCUAUCUGGGGCUAAGCCAUCAACACGGAAGCUUUAAAAACCUCCCUGAGGCACCCGCAGUCCGACUGCAGGGAAGAGCCAGCAGAAGGGAAGACGCUGUCAACGCUCUGAAGCUCUGCCCUGAACACAUGCCGGCCGGUCCUGAGCCAGGUCCAGAGCAAAGCAAGGAGCAGGUGCAGGGGCCGCCGAGACCUGUGUGCGGGCCCCGUGUGCACAGCUGCUCGCCGCCUUCAAGGGCGGGGCCGCGGAGGAGGAAGCCGCAGGACCAAGUCUUCAAGGAGGACGUGCUGAUGCCACUGCCACGAGGCUACUUAUUUGGCCCUGUUACUCGCCCCUGAUCUCAUGGGCCGAGGUGCUUAGGAAAAACAGACUCAACAUCCCUAAAGCCUUCUAUACUUAGAACAGGUGCAGGACUGUCUGGGCGGCAGUUGGCCCCAAGUUCCUUUCCAGCUCACUGCCACCAAAAGCCAGGCUCGGUGCCACCCCUGAGCCCAGCGAGCGACUGCUGGCUGACAGGUGGCAAGUUUGGCCAAUAACUGGCUUCCCUAGAAGUGAACUGCUUCCCCAUUCGUUUCAGGAACUCUCCCGGUAUCGAGGAAUCGCUGUACCCAAAGCACAACGGCUGCCGAAGCUUCGCGAUUCCUCUUGAUGGACGGACUCGAGGUCCGGUUCUCAAGACCAAGAGUGGCUGAAUUUUUAACCAUCAGGAGGCUGACCUCUGAGGUUUUAAAAAUACCCUUUCUAGCAACACACCUGUGGGUAGGGAGGGUAUGGAGAUGGUCCAUUUAAGUGGGUCAGGCCUUUUGUUUUGUUUUGUUUUUAGGGCUGCACCUGAGGCAAAUGGAAGUUCCCAGCCUAGGGGUCUACACCACAGCCACAGCAAUGCCAGAUCCGAGCCACAUUUGCAACCUAUACCUCCGCUCGAGGCAACACUGGAUCCUUAACUCAUUGAGCCAGAGAGUGAACCCGAAUCCUCGUGGCAUCUAGUCAGGUUCGUUUCCACUGGGCCACAACAGGAACUCCCAUUCAAGUGAGUUUUCUGGAUAAAGAUUUACCCAUUUAAUGUCCAGCUUUGGGCUGCUUUCUGCACACACCUUUCUAAAAGCUCUUGAUCCAGACACCAACCUGGGUGGCCUUAAGUCAUCAUUUUGCAGUUACUCAGAUGCAUUUACUGUCUGCCCCAGAGCGUGACCCUCUAGGGGGCAAGAGUGUGCCUCCCCCCUCCCUUUUUUUUUGGCUUUUUGCCUUUUCUAGGGCCGCUUCCCGUGGCAUAUGGAGGAUCCCAGGCUAGGGGUCGAAUCAGAGCUGUAGCCACCGGCCUAUGCCAGAGCCACAGCAACGUGGGAUCCGAGCCACAUCUGCGACCUACGCCGAAGCUCACAGCAACGCCAGAUCCUUAACCCACUAAGCAAGGCCAGGGAUUGAACCUGCAACCUCAAGGUUCCUAGUCGGAUUCGUUAACCACUGCGCCACGACGGGAACGCCUGCCUCCUCUUUUUUGACUGGAGAACUCCUGCAUAGACAGGGUUCCACGUGGUUUGGAGCCCGGAUGGAGAAGCGGAGGAAGGCCAUCCCACACAGUGGCCGGUUGGCUGGUAAACGGCAUUUCUAACCUCCACACCAAAGCUGUGAAGCAAGCAUUUUCAUUUCCAUUUUUACAGAUGAAAAGGAGCUCAAAGAUAUUAAGGCACAUGUGUGGCGACGGCGAAGCUGACAUCGCAGGCACUUUAUUCCUGGACCACACCCUCUCCAGGGAACCGUGUUCUACAAGGAAGCACACCGGCGUCGCUCUUCCCACGAAGUGAACCCCGAAUCUCAUCUGCACUUGCAUCUCAGCCCCUUGGUGGUGGUGGUGGUGGUGGGGUGUUGUCCACCACAGACGGCAGGGCCCAGUCCCCAGACUUCAGAUCAGCAGGUCCCAGAAGAUGCUGAUACUCUGUUCCAGGGACCCCCCCGGGGGAUACGGAAUGUUAACUCAACAUCCUGGCAACACUUGGCUGAUCACAACCACAUCAUGAUGAGCCUCGCUGGGCUGGACUCAGCAGACACGGAGGCUGCAGCGUGGGAUGGCCCCAGCUUUCUAAGCCCUUUCAGUUUUUCACUUUAAAGAAUGUUUACCCUUUUUGUCCUUUGCUGUCAAGCUGUGAGCAUCCCUUCUCAUUUGCCUCCUGCGCUCCAUCUCUUUCUUUUGUCCUAAUUCCUUCUCACCCACUGUUUGUGGGAGCAGGGCAGCCUCGCUUGCCUUGGCCGCUCCAGCUCCUACCUUCCUCACAGGCCACUGCUCGGCGUCCACUGGCUGCUGGGGAACUCCUCCAGGAGCCCAGGUCAGGAAGGUGAAACGGGCCACGGUCCUCAAGUGCAAGCUGGGCAGAGAGGAAGGUGGGGGGAGCCGCGCUGGGAAGUCACCCACCUGCACUGAGGACGAUGCUCUCCAGAGCGGAAGGUGGUGGAUACGCUCCCCUGGGUCAAGGGAGGUGCUGGUUUGCACAGACUCAGGCACCCGUGGAGGGUUUGAGCGCCACCCUGGCCCUCUUCCUUCCUUCCCUCCUUCCUUCCUUCCUUCCUUCCUUCCUUCCUUCUUUUUCUUUCUUUCUCUCUCUUCUUUCUUUCUUUUUCUUUCUUUCUUUCUUUCUUUCUUUCUUUUUCUUUCUUUCUUUCUUUCUUUCUCCCUUCCUUCCUUCCUUCCUUCCUUCCUUCCUUCCUUCCUUCCUUCCUCCCGUCCUUCCUUCCUUCCUUUUUCUUCCUUUCUUUCUUCUUCUUUCUCUUCCUUACUUUUACUGCCACAACCGUGGCAUAUGGAAGUUCCCAGGCCAGGAGUUGAAUCAGAGCUGCAUCUGGUGCCUACACCACAGCCACAGCAACACCAGAUCUGAGCUGCAUCUUCGACCCACAGUGUAGCUCACGGCAAAGCCAGAUCCUUAACACACUGAGUGAGGCCAGGGAUCGAACCCACAUCCUCAUGGACACUAUUUCGGGUUCUUAACCCACCAAGCCACUAUGGGAACUCCUCUUUCCCCUUCUUAAUAAGGUGUCAAAUCCCCUGAAGUCAUUAAGAACAGAAGGGAACCACCCCCGCCCCCCGCCAGCCUCCCUCCUCUGUAGUCAGUGGCAGUUGCUCUAUAACUGCACGCUCGCAGUGCAACUCUGUCCCCCUGUACAAGGCUUCCUUCUCACCCAAAGCCGGCCACUGGUGCACAGACACUGCCAUCCUUGGGGUCACAAGAGGGAUGGAUGUCUUGUCUUUCGAGUCUGGGGCAGCUGCUACCCACAGCCUCCGCAGAGCUGGCCCGGCCCUGCCCCUCCAUGGGUGCCCCUUCCUC